UACAGAGGGUGCGAGCGUUAAUCGGAAUUACUGGGCGUAAAGCGCGCGUAGGCGGCUUUGCAAGUCGGGUGUGAAAUCCCCAGGCUUAACCUGGGAACUGCAUUCGAGACUGCAUUGCUAGAGUAUGGGAGAGGGAAGUGGAAUUUCCGGUGUAGCGGUGAAAUGCGUAGAUAUCGGAAGGAACAUCAGUGGCGAAAGCGACUUCCUGGACCAAUACUGACGCUCAUGUGCGAAAGCGUGGGGAGCGAACAGG
This 253-nucleotide ribosomal RNA is filed under the name uncultured bacterium. RNAcentral describes it as "partial 16S ribosomal RNA". It matches the Rfam family "Bacterial small subunit ribosomal RNA", at positions 524 to 776 of the family's 1533-position model. The record is from RNAcentral.